GGUGCCACCAUCAGGUGGCCGCAGAGAAUAGGCCCAAGCGACUGUUUACCAAAAACAUAGGUUUCUGCUAAGUCGCAAGACGAUGUAUAGGGGCUGACGCCUGCCCGGUGCUGGAAGGUUAAGGGGAGCUGUUAGAGCAAUCGAAGCAGUGAACUUAAGCCCCAGUAAACGGCGGCCGUAACUAUAACGGUCCUAAGGUAGCGAAAUUCCUUGUCGGGU
Molecule: ribosomal RNA, 219 nt
Filed under: Clostridioides difficile
Lineage: Bacteria; Bacillati; Bacillota; Clostridia; Peptostreptococcales; Peptostreptococcaceae
Description: partial 23S ribosomal RNA
Rfam family: Bacterial large subunit ribosomal RNA
Source: RNAcentral